UACGAAGGGGGCUAGCGUUGCUCGGAAUCACUGGGCGUAAAUGGUGCGUAGGCGGGUCUUUUAGUCAGGGGGGAAAUCCUGGAGCUCAACUCCAGAACUGCCUUUGAUACUGAAGAUCUUGAGUUCGGGAGAGGUGAGUGGAACUGCGAGUGUAGAGGUGAAAUUCGUAGAUAUUCGCAAGAACACCAGUGGCGAAGGCGGCUCACUGGCCCGAUACUGACGCUGAGGCACGAAAGCGUGGGGAGCAAACAGG
Molecule: ribosomal RNA, 253 nt
Filed under: uncultured bacterium
Lineage: Bacteria
Description: partial 16S ribosomal RNA
Rfam family: Bacterial small subunit ribosomal RNA
Source: RNAcentral